UGAGCUCCUGUGUGGCCUACUGACGUGAGCAGGCCAAAGAAACCCUGAAAAUUAAAUGUGAGAGCUCUCCAAAGAGCUUCCUUGCUAUUCCAGUGCAUCCUGCAAGGCCCCAGACAAGAGACAAGGAGUGUUUGCUUCUUACCGGCUUGCCUUAGGAAUUCCUGCCUACUUUACAUCCCUGUGUGCUGGGAUGCUCAAGCCAGGAUGGUAUUACCCAGAGAAGAACCUGGCAAGAAGACCCUGGAAUUGUUUGAAGAAGGCUGACCCGCGAUCGCCUUGACUGCAACUCUCCUGGCAGUGUCAGAGGGAAAGGCAGAAAAAAAAAGGAUCCUUGCACACAGCACCAGUCUCCCCAGCAUCUUCAGUCUGCUUUCUCAAACGUGGCUGCCCAGCAACAGGAGGAGUACCUUUGUGAGGAGGAGAGUGGCUCAUGGUAUCUCCUCCCUGCCUUGGGGAGGGAUUCCCUGCAGUCUAACAAGUGCUACCAAGAAGCCCCUGUGCAGGCUAAAGGCCCAGCGCCAGAUGCUGUGUGUGCUCAUGGAAGGAGUGGGAGCCCGCCCUGGAGAACGGAUUAUCACGCUGGAAAAGCCCAGGUGAGCUUGAAAGAUCCAGCAAUCAAGAGCAGAAAUCUGAGGACCUGGAGGCAUGGAAGGCUGAGAAGCUGGCCAGGAAGGAGAAAGCCAAACUGGUAAUCAUCCCCUGCUGUCUGCCCUGCAGAGAGCCAAGAACAGAGCUGACCCUCCAUGCCUCUCCCUGUGAGGAAGACUCCGGGCCAUUGCUGGAGGAAGGAGUAAGGGUCUGACACCCCUUGCCCUGAGGUUUGGUGGGGCCCUGUGGGGAGGAGCUGCCAUGA
Molecule: long non-coding RNA, 853 nt
Organism: Myiozetetes cayanensis
Lineage: Eukaryota; Metazoa; Chordata; Aves; Passeriformes; Tyrannidae
Exons: 5
Source: RefSeq, a predicted model, not a curated record